Molecule: small RNA, 94 nt
Filed under: Chryseobacterium sp. Leaf394
Lineage: Bacteria; Pseudomonadati; Bacteroidota; Flavobacteriia; Flavobacteriales; Weeksellaceae
Description: Flavo-1 RNA
Rfam family: Flavo-1 RNA
Source: Rfam by way of RNAcentral
UCAUAGCCCUGAUGGCAGCGACAUCCUUUUGUGUGGCGGACGGAACGGAGAGGAGACCGCUACACAAAAGAUACAGCGAACAGCAGGUUCCCGG